This 375-nucleotide ribosomal RNA is filed under the name uncultured bacterium. RNAcentral's name for it is "bacterial SSU rRNA". It matches the Rfam family "Bacterial small subunit ribosomal RNA", at positions 521 to 896 of the family's 1533-position model. The record is from RNAcentral.
UAAUACGUAGGUCCCGAGCGUUGUCCGGAAUUACUGGGUGUAAAGGGUGCGCAGGCGGUUUUGUGCGUCAGAAGUGAAAUAUCACGGCUCAACCGUGAGGGUGCUUUUGAUACGGCAAGACUUGAGUACGAGAGAGGAUGAUAGAAUUCCUGGUGUAGCGGUGAAAUGCGUAGAUAUCAGGAGGAAUACCGGUGGCGAAGGCGGUCAUCUGGCUCGUUACUGACGCUCAGGCACGAAAGUGUGGGUAGCAAACAGGAUUAGAUACCCUGGUAGUCCACACCUUAAACGAUGUAUGCUUGGUGUUGGGGUAGCAAUAUCUCAGUGCCGAAGGGAACCUCUUAAGCAUACCACCUGGGGAGUACGAUCGCAAGGUUG